ACGCCGAUUGUUUCAAAAUUAUCGAUAAAAAUCCUUCCUUUUUUCUAAUAGAUUACAGAGAUUUACUGAGUUGUGACCUAUAUUGAUUGAUUGAUCGAUUCAUGAUCAUUGAUCGAUCGAUUGAUUGUGACUUAUCCAUCAAUCAUUGAUGGAUCGAUUGAUCGAUCGAUUAUCACAACUGGAGGGGUGUGGCUGAACAGCGAUGUUUUACCAUAGAUAUACGGAAUUAGGCACAUGGUACCACAAAGCUUGCCCUUCUUCUUUACCUCAUUCCUUUCCUUCUUUGCUCGCUCAAACUCACUCAGUCUCAGUCCAGAGAUAAGCUUAGACUUCGUACUAUGGAACAAGAAAAAGAGAUGGAGGAUAUUUUGACUACUACUAGAUGAUGGGGGUUUCCUCGAAUGUUAAAGACAAGUUUAAAGCAGAAAAGGCAUACCAGUUAUUACUGAUACCUCAGAACUACCAAGAGAGUUAAGCAUUCUAAUGCAUGAGUGAGUCUACAUUCAAUAUGAACUCAAUAUGAAUUCAAUACGAACUCUUCAUUUAUCAUUACUAGUAUCACUUUUGUGACACUUGUUAUUUCAUUGUAAAUUGUUCUGAUUUCAAUAGUUUCAAAAUAAUUAUUAAAGUAUUAACAUGUAUCAGUCAUAAUUCAGUAUUACCAAUACAACUACAUGUAUAAAC
Long non-coding RNA from Amphimedon queenslandica, 684 nucleotides. RefSeq lists it as uncharacterized. The record is from RefSeq and is a predicted model, not a curated record. The transcript has 2 exons. NCBI's taxonomy places the organism in Eukaryota, Metazoa, Porifera, Demospongiae, Haplosclerida, Niphatidae.